UACGUAGGUGGCGAGCGUUGUCCGGAUUUAUUGGGCGUAAAGCGAGCGCAGGUGGUUUAUUAAGUCUGGUGUAAAAGGCAGUGGCUCAACCAUUGUAUGCAUUGGAAACUGGUAGACUUGAGUGCAGGAGAGGAGAGUGGAGUUCCAUGUGUAGCGGUGAAAUGCGUAGAUAUAUGGAGGAACACCGGUGGCGAAAGCGGCUCUCUGGCCUGUAACUGACACUGAGGCUCGAAAGCGUGGGGAGCAAACAGG
This 252-nucleotide ribosomal RNA is filed under the name uncultured bacterium. RNAcentral describes it as "partial 16S ribosomal RNA". It matches the Rfam family "Bacterial small subunit ribosomal RNA", at positions 524 to 776 of the family's 1533-position model. The record is from RNAcentral.